RNAcentral lists this non-coding RNA (28 nucleotides) under Mus musculus (house mouse). Lineage: Eukaryota; Metazoa; Chordata; Mammalia; Rodentia; Muridae. The record is from RNAcentral.
ACUCGGUUCCUCUGCAAGAGCAGCCAGU